UACGUAGGGGGCGAGCGUUAUCCAGAUUUACUGGGCGUAAAGCGCGUGUAGGCGGCUGGUUAGGUGUGAUGUGAAAGCCCCCGGCUCAACUGGGGAGUGUCGUGCGAUACGGGCGGACUGGAGGCCAGUAGGGGGAUGCGGAAUUCCGGGUGUAGUGGUGGAAUGCGUAGAGAUCAUAAGGAAGACCAGUGGCGAAGGCGGGUCUCUGGACAGUUCCUGACACUGAGGCACGAAGGCCAGGGGAGCAAACGGG
This 253-nucleotide ribosomal RNA is filed under the name uncultured bacterium. RNAcentral's name for it is "partial 16S ribosomal RNA". It matches the Rfam family "Bacterial small subunit ribosomal RNA", at positions 524 to 776 of the family's 1533-position model. The record is from RNAcentral.